RNAcentral lists this ribosomal RNA (407 nucleotides) under uncultured bacterium. RNAcentral's name for it is "partial 16S ribosomal RNA". It matches the Rfam family "Bacterial small subunit ribosomal RNA", at positions 29 to 526 of the family's 1533-position model. The record is from RNAcentral.
AUUGAACGCUGGCGGCAGGCCUAACACAUGCAAGUCGAGCGGAGCGGCGGAGGGGUGAGGAAUGCCUAGGAAUCGGCAUGGGAGCGGGGAAUAACGUCCGGAAACGGGCGCUAAUACCGCAUACUAUCAGAUGAGCCUAGGUCGGAUUAGCUAGUUGGGGGGGUAAAGGCCUACCAAGGCGACGAUCAGUAACUGGGCUGAGAGGAUGAUCAGUCACACUGGAACGGAGACACGGUCCAGACGCCUACGGGAGGCAGCAGUGGGGAAUAUUGGACAAUGGGCGAAAGCCUGAUCCAGCCAUGCCGCGUGUGUGAAGAAGGUCUUCGGAUUGUAAAGCACUUUAAGUUGGGAGGCGUUACCAACAGAAUAAGCACCGGCUAACUUCGUGCCAGCAGCCGCGGUAAUAC